CUCUUUGCUGCUGUCUCCUCACAGUUAGCCAGCGUCUCCUUUCUCUUUGCUCAGGUUUCCUGCAAGGCCACUUUUCUCACUUCUUUCUCAGUCACAUCAAACAGGCGACUUCAGUGCAGCAGCACCCAGGGAGACACCCCAGCCAGCUGGCUGGCAUCAAAGCCUCCUGCCACUCCAUUCACAAAAUCCCACUGAGCAAUUCUUCUGCAAAGUAGCCACAGAAACCCCAGCCCGAGUGGUGUGCAGGACUUUCCAGCAGAAGGUCUUGGCCGGGUUCAUGUCCAGUGGGACCAUCUGCCAGGAUGGACGUCUGGUGGUCCUGCAGCCACACACCACAGACAUGAGCCUUGCUGCUGUGGCUCCUGAGCUAGGGCAAUGCUCAUCCUGCACUGGGGAUGUAUUAUUUGCAGCAUCUAGUGCAUGAGGGGUUGUCAUCGAGGCCAGAAAGGCCUGAAGAUGCAAUAAAUAACAUAAGCGACCACCCUUGUGCAUCCCGAAUGUGCAGGGUCCCUGCACAGGCUGCAGGGCGAGGGUUGUGCUGCAAGGGCAGAAAGCCAGGGGAGAAACAACCGGGCACAAUUGGCUGCCCCCAUAGCGUCUGUGCCCUUGGAGAGAAGCAGAAAGUUAAAGAAGACGAGUCUUUACGUGGCUUUUAGAAAGUAGAUAUGUUAGUUAUAAUCUGAUUAAAAUUCCUUACAAAUAUUCUGUAAAGUUAGCUCUGGAAUCAAUGAAUGGUCACGCAUCCCCCUAAGCACAGGAUUUAUGUUUAAGAAACUCUGUCAUUAUGGUAAACCUACAGAGAGCGUGUCCAAUCGGCUAAAGAGGAGCAGCAAACACCCGGGUUUAAGCUCCUCCAAGGAGCCUGUGGUUCACUUUGUUUGUCCCAGGCUGCCAUUUCAACAGGCCCGAACUGAAAUCCCAAGUGAAAUAAGCCAAUUUAGAAACAGACAGUGCAUUCGAAAAGGCAGUUAGAAGGAAAACAAGUGUUGUUUCAGGUAGCACGUUUCCGCUCUCACAUUGUUUAGGCCUCCCAACCAGCUGAGGCCGAUUCUGGCACCACAGGGCCGCACAGCCCGGGCCACGCACCCGGCAGCGCCCAGAGCUGCUCCCGGCCAGCCAGAAACGCUGCCAAAGAUGUGCCCAGUGCCGGAAUUUUCACCUUUUCUGAUUCCUCUGUGGCUGCGCGGACUCCAGGCUGCACUUACAGCCGCGGUGACGGCCGGGCAGCGGCUUUGUUUCGGGCCGAGAGCGGAGCUCCCCGGUGAUCCCAGAGCUCUGGGAGCCAAGGGCCUCGGGAAGGAGCCGAGGCACGUGCGUGCUCCAUGGGCCACGCUGCCGUGAGAGGGGACGAGGAGCCAUGCCAGGGCCCUGCUGCAGCCACCACAGCUGGGCUGCUCGUCUGCUUCCUUCCUGCCCUCCCGGCAGCGCCGUGCCCGGCCCGCGGCCUGCGUUGGCCGGGGCUGCUCCUGUCAGCGCGGCGGGAGGCAGCGGGUCGCCUCGCUCCUCCGUGCUGGAGAUGCAGAACAAAGCUUUUUGGCAGGAAAAGGAAGCGGCUCUCCCCUGCAUCACUGUUCUGGGGCUGGCAAUCCCCUCCCUCCUGGGCCGGGGCUGAUCUCACAUCCUUCCAGUCCCUUCCCAAGGCUGCGGGACUGCCGGCUCACAGCCCCCGUGGUGCGGUUCCCCUCGCCCAGCCUCCCCGCUGCCACAUAACUUCUCCCCGCGGCACCCUGCCCGACCCGUGUGCAAAUCGUGCGAGCGUCGGAUCAUGUUUUGCCUGCCUCGGAAAGCAUCCGGCACGCUCGCCGAUGCACUGAAACCCCAGACAAACAAACAGCAGUUGUGCAAGGGUGCAGGGCAGACAUCUCCGGCAGGAAACGAAGCGCAGGACUUGCUCUAUUUUAAUCCCGCCAAGGGUCUUCUUGGAAGCGAGGCAGAGCCCGGCUGCGCAGAGUUAAGAAUGAAACCCUAUUUUUAGCCUGUCCCCGGUGAGGUUCAUUUUGUUGUGCUAGGCACGCCAGUAGGAAAGGGCACGCAAUUCUUAAUCAGACCUGGGAUACUCUCCACGACGCAGACUUUUGAAGGGCACAACGUCACCCCAACAAGCCACAUCCAUCACAGCUGCCCACAGAGAAGAGGGGGCUAUAUCUCCUUCUAUCCAAACGUAUGCUGUAUAGGAAUUCAUCUCCUCCACCAAACUGCAGCUCCGAUGUAUUUGCAGAGCUGCCUGCUGGAGCUGACCUGGAGGACCUCCUGCCAGGCAGCGAGAGGCACCGCGCAUCCAUCCGACAGCCGAGCAGAGCACACACGUGCACACUGACAUCCUUGCUGUCUGUAGUUCCUGACAGGCAUUUGAGUGACCCCCAGAAGAAUGAAACCUAGCCUCUGGGAGCCUGCUACUUGUGCGCGCUCGGCUCCUGAGAAGGCGCAAGGACCGACGGAAUGUGUAACAUUGCUUAUUCCUUCACACCUACGACAGUUGUAUCUCUGCUCUUUUCUCUAUUUUAUCACACUGUAAUGCCACAGUUUUGUCUGCUUUUUGCCUGGUCUCAGCCCAGAGUUUCUUGCAGAGCACAGAAAUAUGGGCAGAGAUCACAGAUGUACAGACAGGGAUCACAGACGCGUUGCUUCUGCAGCAGAAGCAUUUUCAAGUGGACUCUGAACUCGCUGCUCACUGUCACGCCAUCUGGGUCGUUCCUCAGAUGGCGCCCGUCAUUAGGACCUCUGAGGUCACAGAAAGCACCUAGAACUUUCCUUCCGGACACUUAUCUCAAUAACCAGCGCACAUCUUCGGCCCGCCGCCCUGCACUUAAAGUUUCCAGGAAUAUUCCAGGCAGAUUGGUACACCUGUUAUAAAGGUUGCCCAAUACUUUCCAUAGUAAUAAUAAUAAUAAUAAAAUCCCAUUCUAAGUUGAUAAAAA
Long non-coding RNA from Cygnus atratus (black swan), 2918 nucleotides. RefSeq lists it as uncharacterized. The record is from RefSeq and is a predicted model, not a curated record. The transcript has 3 exons. Lineage: Eukaryota; Metazoa; Chordata; Aves; Anseriformes; Anatidae.